Molecule: ribosomal RNA, 462 nt
Filed under: uncultured bacterium
Lineage: Bacteria
Description: bacterial SSU rRNA
Rfam family: Bacterial small subunit ribosomal RNA
Source: RNAcentral
GGGGGACAAAGUGACAGGUGGUGCAUGGUUGUCGUCAGCUCGUGUCGUGAGAUGUUGGGUUAAGUCCUAUAACGAGCGCAACCCUUGCCAUCAGUUGCUACUUCGUAAGAAGGCACUCUGAUGGGACUGCCUGGGAAACCAGGAGGAAGGUGGGGAUGAUGUCAAGUCCGCAUGGUCCUUAUGCCUAGGGCAACACACGUGUUACAAUGGCCAAUACAAAGGGUUGCGAACCCGCAAGGGGGAGCUAAUCUCAUAAAGUUGGUCUAAGUUCGGAUUGAGGUCUGCAACUCGACCUCAUGAAGUUGAAAUCGCUAGUAAUCGCGUAUCAGAACGACGCGGUGAAUACGUUCUCGGACCUUGUACACACCGCCCGUCACACCACGAAAGCUGUUUGUACCCGAAAUCACUUUAGCUAACUCAUUAGAGAGGCGGGUGCUGAAGGUAUGGAGAGUGAUUGGGGUG